AUGAACGCUGGCGGCGUGCCUAAUACCUGCAAGUCGCGCGGACAGACGAGGAGCUUGCUCCUCUGACGUUAGCGGCGGACGGGGGAGUAACACGUGGAUAACCUACCUAUAAGACUGGGAUAACUUCGGGAAACCGGAGCUAAUACCGGAUAAUAUAUUUUACCGCCUGGUUCAAUAGUGAAAGACGGUUUUGCUGUCACUUAUAGAUGGAUCCGCGCCGCAUUAGCUAGUUGGUAAGGUAACGGCUUACCAAGGCGACGAUGCGUAGCCGACCUGAGAGGGUGAUCGGCCACACUGGAACUGAGACACGGUCCAGACUCCUACGGGAGGCAGCAGUAGGGAAUCUUCCGCAAUGGGCGAAGGCCUGACGGAGCAACGCCGCGUGAGUGAUGAAGGUCUUCGGAUCGUAAAACUCUGUUAUUAGGGAAGAACAAAUGUGUAAGUAACUAUGCACGUCUUGACGGUACCUAAUCAGAAAGCCACGGCUAACUACGUG
This 496-nucleotide ribosomal RNA is filed under the name uncultured bacterium. RNAcentral's name for it is "partial 16S ribosomal RNA". It matches the Rfam family "Bacterial small subunit ribosomal RNA", at positions 29 to 507 of the family's 1533-position model. The record is from RNAcentral.